GAUGAACGCUGACAGAAUGCUUAACACAUGCCAGUCUACUUGAAUUUGGGUUUUUUAACUUAGAUUUGGGUGGCGGACGGGUGAGUAACGCGUAAAGAACUUGCCUCACAGCUAGGGACAACAUUUGGAAACGAAUGCUAAUACCUGAUAUUAUGAUUAUAAGGCAUCUUAGAAUUAUGAAAGCUAUAUGCGCUGUGAGAGAGCUUUGCGUCCCAUUAGCUAGUUGGAGAGGUAACGGCUCACCAAGGCGAUGAUGGGUAGCCGGCCUGAGAGGGUGAACGGCCACAAGGGGACGGGGAGACGGCACUUACGCCUAUGGGAGGCAGCAGGGGGGAAUAUUGGACAAUGGACCAAGAGUCUGAUCCAGCAAUUCUGUGGGAAAGAUGACGUUUUUCGGAAUGUAAAGUGCUUUCAGUUGGGAAGAAAAAAAUGACGGUACCAACAGAAGAAGUGACGGCUAAAUACGU
RNAcentral lists this ribosomal RNA (467 nucleotides) under uncultured bacterium. Its description in RNAcentral is "partial 16S ribosomal RNA". It matches the Rfam family "Bacterial small subunit ribosomal RNA", at positions 28 to 506 of the family's 1533-position model. The record is from RNAcentral.